CCCUUAGAUGUUCUGGGCCGCACGCGCGCUACACUGAUUCAUGCAACGAGUUUUGUCCUUGGCUGAAAGGCCUGGGUAAUCUUUGAACGUGAAUCGUGCUGGGGAUAGAUGAUUGCAAUUAUUCAUCUUCAACGAGGAAUUCCUAGUAAACGCAAGUCAUCAGCUUGCAUUGAUUACGUCCCUGCCCUUUGUACACACCGCCCGUCGCACCUACCGAUUGAAUGGUCCGGUGAAAUCUUCGGAUCUGAGAGAUGUCUGAUUAAUUUCGGACGCCUUUUGGAAAAGUUGUUUAAACCUUACCAUUUAGAGGAAGGUGAAGUCGUAACA
RNAcentral lists this ribosomal RNA (327 nucleotides) under uncultured eukaryote. RNAcentral's name for it is "partial 18S ribosomal RNA". It matches the Rfam family "Eukaryotic small subunit ribosomal RNA", at positions 1470 to 1796 of the family's 1831-position model. The record is from RNAcentral.